This 478-nucleotide ribosomal RNA is filed under the name uncultured bacterium. RNAcentral's name for it is "partial 16S ribosomal RNA". It matches the Rfam family "Bacterial small subunit ribosomal RNA", at positions 28 to 523 of the family's 1533-position model. The record is from RNAcentral.
GACGAACGCUGGCGGCGUGCUUAACACAUGCAAGUCGAACGGUAAGGCCCUUCGGGGUACACGAGUGGCGAACGGGUGAGUAACACGUGGGUGAUCUGCCCUGCACUUCGGGAUAAGCCUGGGAAACUGGGUCUAAUACCGGAUAGGGCCACUGCCUGCAUGGGUGGUGGUGGAAAGCUUUUGCGGUGUGGGAUGGGCCCGCGGCCUAUUAGCUUGUUGGUGGGGUGAUGGCCUACCAAGGCGACGACGGGUAGCCGGCCUGAGAGGGUGACCGGCCACACUGGGAAUGAGAUACGGCCCAGACUCCUACGGGAGGCAGCAGUGGGGAAUAUUGCACAAUGGGCGCAAGCCUGAUGCAGCGACGCCGCGUGAGGGAUGACGGCCUUCGGGUUGUAAACCUCUUUCAGCACCGACGAAGCGCAAGUGACGGUAGGUGCAGAAGAAGGACCGGCCAACUACGUGCCAGCCGCCGCCGUAA